GGGUUGUGAGGUUAAGCGACUAAGCGUACACGGUGGAUGCCCUGGCAGUCAGAGGCGAUGAAGGACGUGCUAAUCUGCGAUAAGCGUCGGUAAGGUGAUAUGAACCGUUAUAACCGGCGAUUUCCGAAUGGGGAAACCCAGUGUGUUUCGACACACUAUCAUUAACUGAAUCCAUAGGUUAAUGAGGCGAACCGGGGGAACUGAAACAUCUAAGUACCCCGAGGAAAAGAAAUCAACCGAGAUUCCCCCAGUAGCGGCGAGCGAACGGGGAGGAGCCCAGAGCCUGAAUCAGUGUGUGUGUUAGUGGAAGCGUCUGGAAAGGCGCGCGAUACAGGGUGACAGCCCCGUACACAAAAAUGCACAUGCUGUGAGCUCGAUGAGUAGGGCGGGACACGUGGUAUCCUGUCUGAAUAUGGGGGGACCAUCCUCCAAGGCUAAAUACUCCUGACUGACCGAUAGUGAACCAGUACCGUGAGGGAAAGGCGAAAAGAACCCCGGCGAGGGGAGUGAAAAAGAACCUGAAACCGUGUACGUACAAGCAGUGGGAGCACGCUUCGGCGUGUGACUGCGUACCUUUUGUAUAAUGGGUCAGCGACUUAUAUUCUGUAGCAAGGUUAACCGAAUAGGGGAGCCGAAGGGAAACCGAGUCUUAACUGGGCGUUAAGUUGCAGGGUAUAGACCCGAAACCCGGUGAUCUAGCCAUGGGCAGGUUGAAGGUUGGGUAACACUAACUGGAGGACCGAACCGACUAAUGUUGAAAAAUUAGCGGAUGACUUGUGGCUGGGGGUGAAAGGCCAAUCAAACCGGGAGAUAGCUGGUUCUCCCCGAAAGCUAUUUAGGUAGCGCCUCGUGAAUUCAUCUCCGGGGGUAGAGCACUGUUUCGGCAAGGGGGUCAUCCCGACUUACCAACCCGAUGCAAACUGCGAAUACCGGAGAAUGUUAUCACGGGAGACACACGGCGGGUGCUAACGUCCGUCGUGAAGAGGGAAACAACCCAGACCGCCAGCUAAGGUCCCAAAGUCAUGGUUAAGUGGGAAACGAUGUGGGAAGGCCCAGACAGCCAGGAUGUUGGCUUAGAAGCAGCCAUCAUUUAAAGAAAGCGUAAUAGCUCACUGGUCGAGUCGGCCUGCGCGGAAGAUGUAACGGGGCUAAACCAUGCACCGAAGCUGCGGCAGCGACGCUUAUGCGUUGUUGGGUAGGGGAGCGUUCUGUAAGCCUGUGAAGGUGUGCUGUGAGGCAUGCUGGAGGUAUCAGAAGUGCGAAUGCUGACAUAAGUAACGAUAAAGCGGGUGAAAAGCCCGCUCGCCGGAAGACCAAGGGUUCCUGUCCAACGUUAAUCGGGGCAGGGUGAGUCGACCCCUAAGGCGAGGCCGAAAGGCGUAGUCGAUGGGAAACAGGUUAAUAUUCCUGUACUUGGUGUUACUGCGAAGGGGGGACGGAGAAGGCUAUGUUGGCCGGGCGACGGUUGUCCCGGUUUAAGCGUGUAGGCUGGUUUUCCAGGCAAAUCCGGAAAACCAAGGCUGAGGCGUGAUGACGAGGCACUACGGUGCUGAAGCAACAAAUGCCCUGCUUCCAGGAAAAGCCUCUAAGCAUCAGGUAACAUCAAAUCGUACCCCAAACCGACACAGGUGGUCAGGUAGAGAAUACCAAGGCGCUUGAGAGAACUCGGGUGAAGGAACUAGGCAAAAUGGUGCCGUAACUUCGGGAGAAGG
RNAcentral lists this ribosomal RNA (1712 nucleotides) under Escherichia coli. RNAcentral describes it as "partial 23S ribosomal RNA". It matches the Rfam family "Bacterial large subunit ribosomal RNA", at positions 1 to 1746 of the family's 2925-position model. The record is from RNAcentral. Lineage: Bacteria; Pseudomonadati; Pseudomonadota; Gammaproteobacteria; Enterobacterales; Enterobacteriaceae.